CAAGUCGAGCGAACUUGCGGGAGCUUGCUCCCAAAAGUUAGCGGCGGACGGGUGAGUAACACGUGGGCAACCUGCCUGUAAGACUGGGAUAACUUCGGGAAACCGGAGCUAAUACCGGAUAAUUCUUUUCUACUCAUGUAGGAAAGCUGAAAGAUGGCUUCGGCUAUUACUUACAGAUGGGCCCGCGGCGCAUUAGCUAGUUGGUGAGGUAACGGCUCACCAAGGCAACGAUGCGUAGCCGACCUGAGAGGGUGAUCGGCCACACUGGGACUGAGACACGGCCCAGACUCCUACGGGAGGCAGCAGUAGGGAAUCUUCCGCAAUGGACGAAAGUCUGACGGAGCAACGCCGCGUGAGUGAUGAAGGUUUUCGGAUCGUAAAACUCUGUUGUUAGGGAAGAACAAGUACCGUUCGAAUAGGGCGGUACCUUGACGGUACCUAACCAGAAAGCCACGGCUAACUACGUGCCAGCAGCCGCGGUAAUACGUAGGUGGCAAGCGUUGUCCGGAAUUAUUGGGCGUAAAGCGCGCGCAGGCGGUCCUUUAAGUCUGAUGUGAAAGCCCACGGCUCAACCGUGGAGGGUCAUUGGAAACUGGGGGACUUGAGUGCAGAAGAGGAGAGUGGAAUUCCACGUGUAGCGGUGAAAUGCGUAGAGAUGUGGAGGAACACCAGUGGCGAAGGCGACUCUCUGGUCUGUAACUGACGCUGAGGCGCGAAAGCGUGGGGAGCGAACAGGAUUAGAUACCCUGGUAGUCCACGCCGUAAACGAUGAGUGCUAAGUGUUAGAGGGUUUCCGCCCUUUAGUGCUGCAGCAAACGCAUUAAGCACUCCGCC
Molecule: ribosomal RNA, 834 nt
Filed under: uncultured Bacillus sp.
Lineage: Bacteria; Bacillati; Bacillota; Bacilli; Caryophanales; Bacillaceae
Description: bacterial SSU rRNA
Rfam family: Bacterial small subunit ribosomal RNA
Source: RNAcentral